RNAcentral lists this ribosomal RNA (116 nucleotides) under uncultured bacterium. RNAcentral's name for it is "partial 16S ribosomal RNA". It matches the Rfam family "Bacterial small subunit ribosomal RNA", at positions 1358 to 1482 of the family's 1533-position model. The record is from RNAcentral.
UCCGGUGAAUACGUUCCCGGGCCUUGUACACACCGCCCGUCAAGCCGUGGAAGUUGGGAGAACCUGAAGUCGAUAACCGUAAGGAGUCGCCUAGGGUUAUACCAGUAACUAGGGCU